AAAUUGAAGAGUUUGAUCAUGGCUCAGAUUGAACGCUGGCGGCAGGCCUAACACAUGCAAGUCGAGCGGAAACGAGUUAUCUGAACCUUCGGGGAACGAUAACGGCGUCGAGCGGCGGACGGGUGAGUAAUGCCUAGGAAAUUGCCCUG
Molecule: ribosomal RNA, 149 nt
Filed under: Vibrio alginolyticus
Lineage: Bacteria; Pseudomonadati; Pseudomonadota; Gammaproteobacteria; Vibrionales; Vibrionaceae
Also listed under: 4 other names
Description: partial 16S ribosomal RNA
Rfam family: Bacterial small subunit ribosomal RNA
Source: RNAcentral